This is a long non-coding RNA of Phragmites australis (common reed), 1446 nucleotides long. RefSeq lists it as uncharacterized. The record is from RefSeq and is a predicted model, not a curated record. The transcript is spliced from 5 exons. NCBI's taxonomy places the organism in Eukaryota, Viridiplantae, Streptophyta, Magnoliopsida, Poales, Poaceae.
CAUUGCUCCUGGUUUUUCAGCGCUGCUUCUCUCAUUUAUCUUAACUCUUUGCCCAUGAUAUAUGAAGACACAACUAAUUUAGAUUGUCACAAGCAUAGUGAUUGCACUAACCUCUUUUGUAUAUUUAAUAUGGCGUUGCAGGCUGCGACCACCAUCAGCAGCAUCAAAAGGCUCUCUGACGGGCUGCUGGAUACAAUGGCUCCCUCUUCGAAUCCGGCGGCUGGUGCCCGGCCACUCGUUCCUCUCCGAUACUGAAGGCUGGGUAUUUCCGGGAAUGCCUGACCAGUUUUGUCAUCAGCUUGUUGGUUCCUUGAUGGAUGCUUGGAAGGUGCUUUGUGGAAAUGCCUUACUGUAACGAGCAAGAUUUAUGGAAUGUGCUCGUGAUAUAGUCUUUGCUUUAUCAUAAUCAGGUGUAUGCGCUGCUUUUAGUAGAGGUAUCUUUGCCUUCUUGCAUUCUAUUUGUGCCAUUUGGCUAUCCUGAGAUUGUCUUCUUAUAGUUGCAGAGACAAAUCAGAGAAUAUGCUUUCUGAAUGAGAGUCCUGAUGAAGUUAUCCACAGUUUAUUUUACAACAAGAAUAAUAAUUCACUCAUUAUCGUGUCACUAUAUGGUUCUAAAAAUUUCAGUGCUCUGCGAUGCAUGACAACUUGAAUAGAGUAAAUUCGACGAGGACAACCAGAUGUUGGUUUCCCUCUUUUUGAGAUAGAGUCCUUAAAAUGGCCUGGAUUUGUGGAUUUUGAUGAUGUCAAUGGAAAGGUUUUGACUUACUCCGCUCAAGACAGCCCUAGGGUAAUGCUAUUGAUUUAUACAAGAACACGCAGCUCUGUUCCUCUGAAGAUUCUAUCUAUUGAGGAUGGUAAGGUCUUGAAGUCUUUCAGGGUGUUCAAUCCCUUGGUCAACUUUUUGGUUGUACAACCAAGAACAUUGAGAGUCAUUUGGAAACCCUUGCAUCACACCAUAAUGUAGGAAACAAGAAUCUUUGCCAGAGCGAGAUGUUGCAAGAUGUUAGCAUAGAUUAAUCUACUCAAUCCACUUUACUCUGCGAAGCAUCAAUGGUAACACUACUUCUGAUUGGUUGCCUGAUUGCUAGACAGGUGAAGGUUCGGGUCUUGGAGCGCUCAUGAGUAUUUCUUAAUCCCCUCUACUGUUCUGAGCCAACAAAGUUUCCAUCUUGCACUUGCUCUAGCCCCUGCUCUGAAGAAUUUUUGAGCUUGGUUGCAAAUCAGAAAAUGACCGAAGUGAAGCGUGAGGAGAUGGUCCAUCAUCCAUCCAUGGACCAGCUCCAGGGUUUUGAGUCCUGCAUCGACUUGAAUCCUUCCUGGGUAUCUGCCACAUUGCAGUGAACCAACUAUGUGAUCCCUUUCUUGAUCCGUUUGUUGUGUUUAUGGAUUGCUAAUUCUGGGUGAUUGUGGGUCUUGCAGGAGAAGCGAUUGCUUUGGGGUUUCAAC